UAAAGCAACUAAGGGCGCAUGGUGGAUGCCUUGGGUCUGAGAGGCGACGAAGGACGUGGUAAGCUGCGAUAAGCCAGGAAGAGCUGCACACAAGCAUUAUAUCCCUGGAUUUCCGAAUGGGUCAACCCACUAUACUGAAGGUAUAGUACUCGUAAGAGAGCCAACCCCGAGAACUGAAACAUCUAAGUACCGGGAGGAAAAGAAAACAAUAGUGAUUCCCUGAGUAGUGGCGAGCGAAAUGGGAAUAGCCUAAACUUGAGCGGCGUGCCGCUUGAGGGUUGUAGGACUGCAUUUAGAAAUUGUCAUCAAGUUGAAUCUUUUGGAAAAUUGAGCCAUAGAGGGUGAUAGCCCCGUAAGCACAAAUUGACAAGGACGAGCAGUAUCCUGAGUAAGGCGGGACCGGAGAAAUCCUGCCUGAAUCUGCCAGCACCAUCUGGUAAGGCUAAAUACUCCUCAGACACCGAUAGUGAACCAGUACCGUAAGGGAAAGGUGAAAAGCACCCUAAACAAGGGAGUGAAAUAGUACCUGAAACCGUGCGCCUACAAGCGGUCGGAGCAUCGUAAGAUGUGACGGCGUGCCUUUUGCAUAAUGAGCCUACGAGUUGCUCCUCACUGGCGAGGUUAAGUUUUUAACAACGGAGCCGUAGCGAAAGCGAGUCCAAAUAGGGCGCUUAGUCAGUGGGGGCAGACGCGAAACUUUGUGAUCUAUCCAUGGGCAGGUUGAAGGUGUGGUAACACACACUGGAGGACCGAUGGAUAGGGGUGAAAGGCCAAUCAAACUGAGAGAUAGCUCGUUCUCCCCGAAAUGUUUUUAGGAACAGCCUCGGAUUAUGAAGUCUGUUAGAGGUAGAGCUACUGAUUGGGCUAGGGGGCUUCACCGCCUACCAAACCCUGACAAACUCCGAAUGCUAACAGAUAUCUCCGGGAGUGAGGCUACGGGUGCUAAGAUCCGUGGCCGAGAGGGAAAUAACCCAGAAUAGCAGCUAAGGUCCCUAAUACGUAGUUAAGUUGAUCAAACGAAGUAGAGCUUCUAUAACAGCCAGGAUGUUUGCUUGGAAGCAGCAAUUCAUUUAAAGAGUGCGUAACAGCUCACUGGUCGAGAGGCUCUGCACGGAAAAUAAUCGGGCAUCAAACUACGAACCGAAGCUCUAUGAUUGCCACUUGGUGGUAUAUCGGUAGGGGAGCAUUGAAAUCUGCAUCGAAGGUGUACGGCGACGUAUGCUGGAGCGAUUUCAAAAGAAAAUGUAGGCAUAAGUAACGAUAAAAUAGGUGAAAAACCUAUUCGCCGAAAGUCUAAGGGUUCCUGAUCAACGUUAAUCGGAUCAGGGUUAGCCCGGUCCUUAGUCAAACCCGAAAGGGGUAGAUGAUGGAAAGCAGGUUAAUAUUCCUGCGCCUGCUAUACAUUAAAAGUGACGGAGAAUGCUAGUUACAUAGGCUGACGGAUUAGCCGAGCGGAUCCUUCGGGUGAAGCGCAGUAAUGAAAGUUCUUCCAAGAAAAGCGAGUAUAGCAGCCGGUACCGCAAACCGACACAGGUAGACGGGAUGAGUAUUCUAAGGCGCUCGGGUGAGCCGUGGAGAAGGAACUAGGCAAAUUGACGCUGUAACUUCGGGAUAAAGCGUACCUACUUCGGUAGGUCUCAGUAAAAUGGUUCAACCAACUGUUUAACAAAAACACAGGGCCCUGCAAAAUCGAAAGAUGACGUAUAGAGCCUGAUACCUGCCCGGUGCUGGAAGGUUAAGGAAGGGUGUUCGGCGCAAGCCAAAGCUCCUGACUGAAGCCCCAGUAAACGGCGGCCGUAACUAUAACGGUCCUAAGGUAGCGAAAUUCCUUGUCGGGUAAGUUCCG
RNAcentral lists this ribosomal RNA (1846 nucleotides) under Sphingobacteriales bacterium 48-107. RNAcentral describes it as "bacterial LSU rRNA". It matches the Rfam family "Bacterial large subunit ribosomal RNA", at positions 1 to 1985 of the family's 2925-position model. Lineage: Bacteria; Pseudomonadati; Bacteroidota; Sphingobacteriia; Sphingobacteriales. The record is from RNAcentral.